CCUACGGGGGCUGCAGUGGGGAAUAUUGGACAAUGGGCGAAAGCCUGAUCCAGCCAUGCCGCGUGUGUGAAGAAGGCCUUCGGGUUGUAAAGCACUUUCAGUGGGGAAGAAAGCCUUGGGGCUAAUACCCUCGAGGAAGGACAUCACCCACAGAAGAAGCACCGGCUAACUCCGUGCCAGCAGCCGCGGUAAUACGGAGGGUGCGAGCAUUAAUCGGAAUUACUGGGCGUAAAGCGCGCGUAGGCGGUCUGAUAAGCCGGUUGUGAAAGCCCCGGGCUCAACCUGGGAACGGCAUCCGGAACUGUCAGGCUAGAGUGCAGGAGAGGAAGGUAGAAUUCCCGGUGUAGCGGUGAAAUGCGUAGAGAUCGGGAGGAAUACCAGUGGCGAAGGCGGCCUUCUGGACUGACACUGACGCUGAGGUGCGAAAGCGUGGGUAGCAAACAGGAUUAGAUACCCUUGUAGUC
Molecule: ribosomal RNA, 464 nt
Filed under: Vreelandella stevensii
Lineage: Bacteria; Pseudomonadati; Pseudomonadota; Gammaproteobacteria; Oceanospirillales; Halomonadaceae
Description: partial 16S ribosomal RNA
Rfam family: Bacterial small subunit ribosomal RNA
Source: RNAcentral